UACGUAGGGUGCAAGCGUUAAUCGGAAUUACUGGGCGUAAAGCGUGCGCAGGCGGUUUUGUAAGUCUGUCGUGAAAUCCCCGGGCUCAACCUGGGAAUUGCGAUGGAGACUGCAAGGCUAGAAUCUGGCAGAGGGGGGUAGAAUUCCACGUGUAGCAGUGAAAUGCGUAGAGAUGCGGCGGAACACCGAUGGCGAAGGCAGCCCCCUGGGCUGAGAUUGACGCUCAGGCACGAAAGCGUGGGGAGCAAACAGG
RNAcentral lists this ribosomal RNA (253 nucleotides) under uncultured bacterium. RNAcentral describes it as "partial 16S ribosomal RNA". It matches the Rfam family "Bacterial small subunit ribosomal RNA", at positions 524 to 776 of the family's 1533-position model. The record is from RNAcentral.